AUCAGUAGCUCAGUUGGAUAGAGCAACGGCCUUCUAAGCCGUGGGUCGGGGGUUCGAAUCCCUCCUGAU
This 69-nucleotide transfer RNA is filed under the name human gut metagenome. It matches the Rfam family "tRNA". Rfam says of the family: Transfer RNA (tRNA) molecules are approximately 80 nucleotides in length. Their secondary structure includes four short double-helical elements and three loops (D, anti-codon, and T loops). Further hydrogen bonds mediate the characteristic L-shaped molecular structure. tRNAs have two regions of fundamental functional importance: the anti-codon, which is responsible for specific mRNA codon recognition, and the 3' end, to which the tRNAs corresponding amino acid is attached (by aminoacyl-tRNA synthetases). tRNAs cope with the degeneracy of the genetic code in two manners: having more than one tRNA (with a specific anti-codon) for a particular amino acid; and 'wobble' base-pairing, i.e. permitting non-standard base-pairing at the 3rd anti-codon position. The record is from RNAcentral.